UCAGAAAAGACUUGGUAACUUUAAAUAUCUCAGCAAGAGUGACAUUAAACAAAUGAACCUGAUGUACAAGUGUAGCGGCGGAGGUGGUGGUGGUGGUGGUGGUGGGGUCAAACCUCCUCCUCCCCCUCCCCCACCAGGAAACUGUAAGGACACAGGAAGGCAUUGCUCUUACCACGUACCAAGAGGCGAUUGCAAGAGAAUGCAGAUCGUCAGRGAAAAAUGCAGGAAGAGCUGUGGCUUGUGUUAGAUCUAUAAUGACCACAUGAGUAGUGCCGUAAUGAUUUAUGUGACCCUAAUCUAUAUCAUGAAUAAAUCUCUACCAAUGGAGUCAU
Long non-coding RNA from Exaiptasia diaphana, 332 nucleotides. RefSeq lists it as uncharacterized. The record is from RefSeq and is a predicted model, not a curated record. The transcript has 3 exons. NCBI's taxonomy places the organism in Eukaryota, Metazoa, Cnidaria, Anthozoa, Actiniaria, Aiptasiidae.